Molecule: long non-coding RNA, 308 nt
Filed under: Phasianus colchicus (ring-necked pheasant)
Lineage: Eukaryota; Metazoa; Chordata; Aves; Galliformes; Phasianidae
Description: lncRNA (ENSPCLG00000001116.1)
Source: RNAcentral
GACAGUUGUUAUUUUUAAGCCUUGUGUAGUUGGUGUUUCCUGGUAUUUUGGAUUCUGACCCACAGUUUGUGAAUUUUGGAGUUAGGAGUCCGACAGCUGCCAGUGAAAAGAUCUGCAGGAAAGGUUCAGAAGAUGAGUGAUACCUUGGAUGUGCAGUGAUUGUAGACAGAGCCCCCUUUAUGGAACCAUUUGCAUCCGCAUAUGGAGCUAUGACCUAGAUGACAUUUGCACAGCCUACAGCAUAGUGAAGACAAAAUGACUUCUAGUGCUCUCUCUGAGGUGAAAUAGCUUUGCAACUCAAAAUAAAG